Molecule: ribosomal RNA, 518 nt
Filed under: uncultured Tulasnella
Lineage: Eukaryota; Fungi; Basidiomycota; Agaricomycetes; Cantharellales; Tulasnellaceae
Description: LSU rRNA
Rfam family: Eukaryotic large subunit ribosomal RNA
Source: RNAcentral
CAAUGUGUGAAUCUGGCGGAGGUAGUGCUUCGUGUCUGAGUUGUGCACUAUGGACGCUUUGUCGGCAGGGCUUGGGGCGGAAGUGCCAAUGAAACAUGGCAUCAGAGAGGGUCAUAGUCCCGUGCUCGCUCAAUCCAAGCCCGUGUGCAGCGAAAAGUGCUCCGCGAGUCGCAUAGUUUGGUAAUGCUAUGCCAAGUGGGAGGUAGAGCCCUUCUAAAGCUAAAUAUGAUGAUGUGACCGAUAGUUCACAAGUACCGCGAGGGAAAGGUGAAAAGUAACCAUGUAGAAUGGGUUGAAAGAGAAGUGAAAGUGCUACCGGGAUAAGGGCAUGUGACAGCUGGUGUCUGUAGGGCGUGCUUCAGUGCUGUCCUUCUAGAACGGUGUGCGGAUGUGUUUGAUGGGGAGACAAGGCUGUCUGGGAACGUGGCUCAGCCUUUGGGGUGAGUGUUAUAGCCCGGCAUGCAAAAGAACCCCACGACACAUGUGAACUGUGCAUCUUGCUGUGGCAUGCCUCCCGU